Molecule: ribosomal RNA, 457 nt
Filed under: uncultured bacterium
Lineage: Bacteria
Description: SSU rRNA
Rfam family: Bacterial small subunit ribosomal RNA
Source: RNAcentral
AGAACGAACGCUGGCGGCAUGCCUAACACAUGCAAGUCGAACGUGAUCCAUGACUUCGGUUGUGGUGAAAGUGGCAAACGGGUGAGUAACGCGUGGGAAUCUGCCCAGAGGUAGGGAAUAACCGCGGGAAACUGCGGCUAAUACCCUAUGUGCCCUACGGGGCAAAGAUUUAUCGCCUUUGGAGGAGCCCGCGUCGGAUUAGGUAGUUGGUAGGGUAACGGCCUACCAAGCCUACGAUCCGUAGCUGGUCUGAGAGGAUGAUCAGCCACACUGGGACUGAGAUACGGCCCAGACUCCUACGGGAGGCAGCAGUGGGAAUAUUGGACAAUGGGGGCAACCCUGAUCCAGCAAUGCCGCGUGAGUGAUGAAGGCCUUCGGGUUGUAAAGCUCGUUUCGGCGGGGAAGAUGAUGACGGUACCCGCAGAAGAGCCCCGGCUAACUUCGUGCCAGCAGCCGC